Long non-coding RNA from Myodes glareolus (Bank vole), 1345 nucleotides. RefSeq lists it as uncharacterized. The record is from RefSeq and is a predicted model, not a curated record. NCBI's taxonomy places the organism in Eukaryota, Metazoa, Chordata, Mammalia, Rodentia, Cricetidae.
CCAGGCUCAUGGAGAUCUCAAGAACUGAAUUUGGGUCAUCAGGAUUGGUGGUACAAUUAUUAUGUAUCAAACUAUAAAAAGAAAGCAAGCAGCUUGAGACGACAUCACAGGUCCCCGGGCGUGAAGAGCUCCAAAUCAAACCUAUUGUACAGGAGGCGGCGGUGCACGAAGGCGUUUGCUGCUGCUUUCGAUGCAAAGACUAAAAGAGAAAUACAAACAGAUUUCAAACACAAUUAAGCUAAGGCAGAAGCUUCCUGUUUUAACUGGAGGAAAAAACCAUUCUCUUGAUAUGGAGGCCCAAAAAUGUGAACCUUUUUCCACCUUGUCUGAUGGUCAGAGAGUUUGGAGGUGGCUCAAUAUUUAACAACAAUCAGGACUACACAUCCUGACUCGGGAUGUGGUUACUUGGUUCUUUUGACAUUAAGAUGGCCCAUACAGUGGAAAUUUCCAGAAGCUAUUUGACAUGCAAUGAUAUCAUCACUCUGCUAACGAAUAAAACACCAGUGGAUGAAUGCUUGUGAUUUUUAGUACCUCUCAUUCUACCAGUGUUUUAGGUUCUCUCCUAGACUCUGGCCACCUGUGGAGCUGGGCCAGAUGCUCCGAUGCUCAUCUCACACAGAGGGACAGCAAAGCGUGGAGAAGUGAAUGUGAGGAGCCGGGGUCUUGACUCUUUCCAGUGCUUGCUUUGAAUUAUUAAGCAAUGAGGGCUAUGGGCAAAGAAUUAUUUAAUUUCCAAGGAAAUAAGAGAAAACAAAAACAGAGCCAUGCAAUUAAUGGACUUGGUUGAUGCGCUGGUGCAGCUCUGGGUUUGAGCACAUCACGCCCACCCACUCAUCUCUGUGAAUUCAGGAAUGAAAUGGAAGCUGGCUCCUGUGUGGGUGUGAGGAUGCACUCAGGGCUGUGACAGGAAACGCUUAGGUCAUGGUCAUGAAGCUCUUCGGUGUAAGGUCGCAUCCACGUCCUUCGAGACACACGGCUGACUGUAGCAAUGGACUGUUUGGAAUAGGAGAGGAACUGAACGUAUGCUCUGUGACAUUUAGCCUUGACAUUUCAACAGCAACUGACUGUGGUUUUAAUUUAUCCCAGUAAAAUCAGUAAGCAGAAAAGAAAUGACUCCUACUUCUCGACAUUAAUUGUGUAUCCGGGUGCAGGUAUUUUCCAGAGCUAUUGCAUAGGGGCUAAAGAGUCUAUUUUAAACAUUUGCCGGGAGCCCUCUUGGGAAACUUUUGACACAGUUUAGAUAUAAUUUCAUCAUUGAAGAGCAGUGAUCAUUAAUAGGAAAACAAUAAGAUCAAGCACCCCGAGAAAUGCCAUCUAUUUCCUCUCAUGCUAUGGACCAUUAUGA